UGGGGGAUAUUGCACAAUGGGCGAAAGCCUGAUGCAGCGACGCCGCGUGGGGGAUGAAGGCCUUCGGGUUGUAAACUUCUUUUGCUCUUAACAAGGCAUGCCUUUGGGGUGUGUUGAGUGUAGGGGUUGAUUAGCGCCGGCUAACUACGUGCCAGCAGCAGCGGUAAUACGUAGGGCGCGAGCGUUGUCCGGAAUUAUUGGGCGUAAAGGGCUUGUAGGUGGCUGGUUGCGUCUGUCGUGAAAGCUCAUGGCUUAACUGUGGGUUUGCGGUGGGUACGGGCUGGCUUGAGUGCAGUAGGGGAGGCUGGAAUUCCUGGUGUAGCGGUGGAAUGCGCAGAUAGCAGGAGGAAUACCGGUGGCGAAGGCGGGUCUCUGGGCUGUUACUGACGCUGAGGAGCGAAAGCGUGGGGAGCGAACAGG
Molecule: ribosomal RNA, 420 nt
Filed under: Fusobacteriota bacterium
Lineage: Bacteria; Fusobacteriati; Fusobacteriota
Description: Fusobacteria bacterium partial 16S ribosomal RNA
Rfam family: Bacterial small subunit ribosomal RNA
Source: RNAcentral